RNAcentral lists this ribosomal RNA (301 nucleotides) under uncultured bacterium. Its description in RNAcentral is "partial 16S ribosomal RNA". It matches the Rfam family "Bacterial small subunit ribosomal RNA", at positions 510 to 808 of the family's 1533-position model. The record is from RNAcentral.
CGUAGCCGCGGUAAUACAGAGGGUGCAAGCGUUAAUCGGAAUUACUGGGCGUAAAGCGCGCGUAGGUGGUUUGUUAAGUUGGAUGUGAAAUCCCCGGGCUCAACCUGGGAACUGCAUUCAAAACUGACUGACUAGAGUAUGGUAGAGGGUGGUGGAAUUUCCUGUGUAGCGGUGAAAUGCGUAGAUAUAGGAAGGAACACCAGUGGCGAAGGCGACCACCUGGACUAAUACUGACACUGAGGUGCGAAAGCGUGGGGAGCAAACAGGAUUAGAUACCCCUGUAGUCCCUGUCUCUUAUACA